UACGUAGGGUGCGAGCGUUGUCCGGAAUUAUUGGGCGUAAAGGGCUCGUAGGCGGUUUGUCGCGUCGGGAGUGAAAUCCUACGGCUUAAAUGUGGGCUUGCUUUCGAUACGGGCAGACUAGAGGUAUGCAGGGGAGAACGGAAUUCCUGGUGUAGCGGUGAAAUGCGCAGAUAUCAGGAGGAACACCGAUGGCGAAGGCAGGUCUCUGGGCUGUAACUGACGCUGAGGAGCGAAAGCAUGGGGAGCGAACAGG
Molecule: ribosomal RNA, 253 nt
Filed under: uncultured bacterium
Lineage: Bacteria
Description: partial 16S ribosomal RNA
Rfam family: Bacterial small subunit ribosomal RNA
Source: RNAcentral